GAUUCCUUAACUUCAUUUGUUGCUCCUUUGUCAAUGUCCUUAUACCAUGGAAGUCCUGGUGAAUUAUCACAUACUCCUAAUGUGCUGAGAAAUACCACUUUCAGGACACUGAGAUAUAAAACCACUUAAAAGCGUUGAAGAAGGAAGGAUUCAUGAAUUCUAUAACUGUAAGAGAAUGAGUUCUGCCAAAAAUCUAAGGGAGCUUGAAAGCAUAUCUUUCCUUAGUUCAGCCUCUGCAUGAGAACCCAGCUUUGCCUGACACCUUGAUUGCAGCCUUGAUAAGACCGUAAGAAAGACCGUAAGAAAACCCAAGCAGAUGUGCCUAUAGACUCCUCACCCACAACUGCGAUAUCACAGAUGUGUCCAGACUUCUUACCCACAACUGCGAUAUCACAGAUGUGUCGAGACUCCCUACCCACAACUGCAAUAUCACAGAUAUGUCGAGACUCCCUACCCACAACUGCAGUAUCACUGAUGUGUCGAGACUCCCUACCCACACCUGCGAUAUCACAGAUGUGUCGAGACUCCCUACCCACAACUGCGAUAUCACAGAUGUGUCGAGACUCCCUACCCACAACUGCGAUAUCACAGAUGUGUCGAGACUCCCUACCCACAACUGUGAUAUCACAGAUGUGUCCAGUCUCCUUACCCACAACUGCGAUAUCACAGAUGUGUCGAGACUCCUCACCCACAACUGUGAUAUCACAAAUGUGUCUUGGUCUUGCUUUAAGCGACUAAAUUUGCGGUAUUUUUUUCCAUAGCAAUAGAAAAUCACUAUAGUACUAUUCACUCAUGUGGACAGUGAAGUUGUUUUACUUUGUUUAAAAUUAAGAAAUAACAGUAAAAUCCACAUAUCUUAAGUAUUAAUCUCAAUGGAUUUUUAUAUAUACAUUCCCUUGAUAAAGAAACAAAUAAUUUUGUUAAACAGUUUUUAAUAUUGCUAUUGUUUUCUUCCUAAAAUUUUCAUAAUAAUUUAACAUUAAAGUCCUAUGCAACUAGAGUGUUCUUUGUGGGAAAGUUUUGAAUUAUGUGUUCAUUUUAAUAAACAAAUAUAGGACUA
This is a long non-coding RNA of Homo sapiens (human), 1060 nucleotides long. RefSeq lists it as uncharacterized. The record is from RefSeq and is a predicted model, not a curated record. The transcript is spliced from 2 exons. NCBI's taxonomy places the organism in Eukaryota, Metazoa, Chordata, Mammalia, Primates, Hominidae.